This 117-nucleotide non-coding RNA is filed under the name Homo sapiens (human). Lineage: Eukaryota; Metazoa; Chordata; Mammalia; Primates; Hominidae. The record is from Rfam by way of RNAcentral.
GCCGGGUGCAGUGGCUCACGCCUGUAAUCCCAGUACCUUGGGAGGCUGAGGUGGGUGGAUCACCUGAGGUCAGGAGUUCGAGACCAGCCUGACCAACAUGGAGAAACCCCAUCUCUA